UUGGGCGUAAGAGCUCGUAGGCGGCCUGCCGCGUCGGAUGUGAAAGCCCGGGGCUUAACCCCGGGUCUGCAUUCGAUACGGGCAGGCUAGAGUUCGGCGGGGGAGAUUGGAAUUCCUGGUGUAGCGGUAAAAUGCGCAGAUAUCAGGAGGAACACCGGUGGCGAAGGCGGAUCUCUGGGCCGAUACUGACGCUGAGGAGCGAAAGCGUGGGGAGCGAACAGGAUUAGAUACCCUGGUAGUCCACGCCGUAAACGUUGGGCACUAGGUGUGGGCGGCAUUCCACGUCGUCCGUGCCGCAGCUAACGCAUUAAGUGCCCCGCCUGGGGAGUACGGCCGCAAGGCUAAAACUCAAAGGAAUUGACGGGGGCCCGCACAAGCGGCGGAGCAUGUGGCUUAAUUCGACGCAACGCGAAGAACCUUACCAAGGCUUGACAUACACCGGAAAACUCUGGAGACAGGGUCCCCCUUUGGGUCGGUGUACAGGUGGUGCAUGGCUGUCGUCAGCUCGCGUCGUGAGAUGUUGGGUUAAGUCCCGCAACGAGCGCAACCCUUAUCCUGUGUUGCCAGCAUGCCUUUCGGGGUGAUGGGGACUCACGGGAGACUGCCGGGGUCAACUCGGAGGAAGGUGGGGACGACGUCAAGUCAUCAUGCCCCUUAUGUCUUGGGCUGC
RNAcentral lists this ribosomal RNA (670 nucleotides) under uncultured bacterium. RNAcentral's name for it is "bacterial SSU rRNA". It matches the Rfam family "Bacterial small subunit ribosomal RNA", at positions 554 to 1217 of the family's 1533-position model. The record is from RNAcentral.